Molecule: ribosomal RNA, 253 nt
Filed under: uncultured bacterium
Lineage: Bacteria
Description: partial 16S ribosomal RNA
Rfam family: Bacterial small subunit ribosomal RNA
Source: RNAcentral
UACGGAGGGUGCGAGCGUUGUCCGGAAUCACUGGGCGUAAAGGGCGCGUAGGUGGCCCGACAAGUCACUGGUGAAAGCUCGACGCUCAACGUCGAGUCGGCCAGUGAUACUGUUGGGCUGGAGCACUGUAGAGGCUCAUGGAAUUCCGGGUGUAGCGGUGGAAUGCGUAGAGAUCCGGAAGAACACCGGUGGCGAAGGCGGUGAGCUGGGCAGUAGCUGACACUGAGGCGCGACAGCGUGGGGAGCAAACAGG